This 805-nucleotide ribosomal RNA is filed under the name uncultured bacterium. RNAcentral's name for it is "bacterial SSU rRNA". It matches the Rfam family "Bacterial small subunit ribosomal RNA", at positions 1 to 800 of the family's 1533-position model. The record is from RNAcentral.
UUAGAGUUUGAUCCUGGCUCAGGAUGAACGCUAGCGAUAGGCCUAACACAUGCAAGUCGAGGGGCAUCACAUGAGGUAGCAAUACCGAUGGUGGCGACCGGCGCACGGGUGAGUAACACGUAUGCAACCUGCCUUCAACAAGGGGAUAACUCGUUGAAAGACGGACUAAUACCCUAUAACACAGGGCUCCCGCAUGGGAAUAUUUGUUAAAGAUUUAUCGGUUGAAGAUGGGCAUGCGUUCCAUUAGUUAGUUGGGGGGGUAACGGCCCACCAAGGCAACGAUGGAUAGGGGAACUGAGAGGUUUAUCCCCCACACUGGUACUGAGACACGGACCAGACUCCUACGGGAGGCAGCAGUGAGGAAUAUUGGUCAAUGGACGCAAGUCUGAACCAGCCACGUCGCGUGAAGGAAGACGGCCCUACGGGUUGUAAACUUCUUUUGUAAGGGAAUAAAGUGAGUCACGUGUGGCUUUUUGCAUGUACCUUACGAAUAAGGAUCGGCUAACUCCGCGCCAGCAGCCGCGGUAAUACGGAGGAUCCGAGCGUUAUCCGGAUUUAUUGGGUUUAAAGGGUGCUCAGGCGGGCCAUUAAGUCGGCGGUGAAAUUUUGCGGCUCAACCGUAAAAGUGCCUUCGAUACUGGUGGUCUUGAGUGUGGAUGAGGUAGGCGGAAUUUGUGGUGUAGCGGUGAAAUGCAUAGAUAUCACGAGGAACUCCGAUUGCUAAGGCAGCUUACUAAGCCAUAACUGACGCGCAAGCACGAAGGCGUGGGGAUCAAAAAGGAUUAGAUACCCUGGUAGUCCACGC